Molecule: ribosomal RNA, 634 nt
Filed under: uncultured bacterium
Lineage: Bacteria
Description: bacterial SSU rRNA
Rfam family: Bacterial small subunit ribosomal RNA
Source: RNAcentral
AGAGUUUGAUCCUGGCUCAGAACGAACGCUGGCGGCAUGCCUAACACAUGCAAGUCGAACGAACCCUUCGGGGUUAGUGGCGCACGGGUGCGUAACGCGUGGGAACCUGCCUUUAGGUUCGGAAUAACAGUUAGAAAUGACUGCUAAUACCGGAUAAUGUCUUCGGACCAAAGAUUUAUUGCCUUUAGAUGGGCCCGCGUUGGAUUAGAUAGUUGGUGGGUAAUGGCCUACCAAGUCGACGAUCCAUAGCUGGUCUGAGAGGAUGACCAGCCACACUGGGACUGAGACACGGCCCAGACUCCUACGGGAGGCAGCAGUGGGGAAUAUUGGACAAUGGGCGAAAGCCUGAUCCAGCAAUGCCGCGUGAGUGAUGAAGGCCUUAGGGUUGUAAAGCUCUUUUACCAGGGAUGAUAAUGACAGUACCUGGAGAAUAAGCUCCGGCUAACUCCGUGCCAGCAGCCGCGGUAAUACGGAGGGAGCUAGCGUUGUUCGGAAUUACUGGGCGUAAAGCGCACGUAGGCGGCUUUUCAAGUCAGGGGUGAAAUCCCGGGGCUCAACCCCGGAACUGCCCUUGAAACUGGAUGGCUAGAAUACUGGAGAGGUGAGUGGAAUUCCGAGUGUAGAGGUGAAAUUC